GCGGACGGGUGAGUAACACGUGGGUAACCUGCCCAAGAGACUGGGAUAGCACCUGGAAACAGAUGCUAAUACCGGAUAACAACACUAGACGCAUGUCUAGAGUUUGAAAGAUGGUUCUGCUAUCACUCUUGGAUGGACCUGCGGUGCAUUAGCUAGUUGGUAAGGUAACGGCUUACCAAGGCAAUGAUGCAUAGCCGAGUUGAGAGACUGAUCGGCCACAUUGGGACUGAGACACGGCCCAAACUCCUACGGGAGGCAGCAGUAGGGAAUCUUCCACAAUGGACGAAAGUCUGAUGGAGCAACGCCGCGUGAGUGAAGAAGGGUUUCGGCUCGUAAAGCUCUGUUGGUAGUGAAGAAAGAUAGAGGUAGUAACUGGCCUUUAUUUGACGGUAAUUACUUAGAAAGUCACGGCUAACUACGUGCCAGCAGCCGCGGUAAUACGUAGGUGGCAAGCGUUGUCCGGAUUUAUUGGGCGUAAAGCGAGUGCAGGCGGUUCAAUAAGUCUGAUGUGAAAGCCUUCGGCUCAACCGGAGAAUUGCAUCAGAAACUGUUGAACUUGAGUGCAGAAGAGGAGAGUGGAACUCCAUGUGUAGCGGUGGAAUGCGUAGAUAUAUGGAAGAACACCAGUGGCGAAGGCGGCUCUCUGGUCUGCAACUGACGCUGAGGCUCGAAAGCAUGGGUAGCGAACAGGAUUAGAUACCCUGGUAGUCCAUGCCGUAAACGAUGAGUGCUAAGUGUUG
RNAcentral lists this ribosomal RNA (740 nucleotides) under uncultured bacterium. RNAcentral describes it as "bacterial SSU rRNA". It matches the Rfam family "Bacterial small subunit ribosomal RNA", at positions 98 to 825 of the family's 1533-position model. The record is from RNAcentral.